CCUAAACACCACCCCCUCUCUCUUCAUCUUCUCCAAACCACCCACCAUAGUUGUCACCCUGCCGCCCAUCUCCAGCCCUUCAACCACUGCCCAAACAGCCCCACGACCAACGACCAUCUCCACCACGUCGUCCGUCACCUAGCCCCCACGCCACCAUCGUCGCCCACCCUAGCCCUCACAUAAAAUGCUCCAGCAUCGUCGACCACCCUAACCCCCACGUUCCACUAGCACUCUAUCGACCAUUGUUAUGUCAUAAACAACCCUUCAACUUUCACUGUCCAAACAGCCCCCACGCAACUCCAUCUCCAUCGACCAAACGAAUCAAUCUUUCAUGUCUGUCCAGCCCCCUCACAUCCAAAUGACCACCUGAAAAAACCAGUAGCAGCCAUGAGUCAUUUUCAGUCCAUUCGUGUUCGGGUUUCCGGCGCGAGCUAUUCUGUUUGAGCUUUGAUGACUGUGUCCAUGGGUUCCCUGUCGAG
RNAcentral lists this long non-coding RNA (479 nucleotides) under Nicotiana benthamiana. Its description in RNAcentral is "long non-coding RNA (NBEN_LNC019344)". The record is from RNAcentral. Lineage: Eukaryota; Viridiplantae; Streptophyta; Magnoliopsida; Solanales; Solanaceae.